This 465-nucleotide ribosomal RNA is filed under the name uncultured bacterium. RNAcentral's name for it is "partial 16S ribosomal RNA". It matches the Rfam family "Bacterial small subunit ribosomal RNA", at positions 338 to 795 of the family's 1533-position model. The record is from RNAcentral.
CCUACGGGAGGCAGCAGUGGGGAAUAUUGCGCAAUGGACGAAAGCCUGACGCAGCGACGCCGCGUGAGGGAAGAAGGUCUUCGGAUCGUAAACCUCUGUCAGUAGGGAAGAACGGUCACUGUGCUAAUCAGCAGUGAAUUGACGGUACCUGCAAAGGAAGCAACGGCUAACUCCGUGCCAGCAGCCGCGGUAAUACGGAGGGUGCGAGCGUUAAUCGGAAUUACUGGGCGUAAAGCGCUCGUAGGCGGUAUGUCAAGUCAAGGGUGAAAUCCCCGCGCUCAACGUGGGAACUGCCUUUGAAACUGGCAGACUAGAGUGUGUGAGAGGAUAGUGGAAUUCCAGGUGUAGCGGUGAAAUGCGUAGAUAUCUGGAGGAACAUCAGUGGCGAAGGCGGCUAUCUGGCCCAUAACUGACGCUGAGGAGCGAAAGCGUGGGUAGCAAACAGGAUUAGAUACCCUUGUAGUC